Molecule: ribosomal RNA, 910 nt
Filed under: Aspergillus quadrilineatus
Lineage: Eukaryota; Fungi; Ascomycota; Eurotiomycetes; Eurotiales; Aspergillaceae
Also listed under: 1 other name
Description: LSU rRNA
Rfam family: Eukaryotic large subunit ribosomal RNA
Source: RNAcentral
GCAUAUCAAUAAGCGGAGGAAAAGAAACCAACCGGGAUUGCCUCAGUAACGGCGAGUGAAGCGGCAAGAGCUCAAAUUUGAAAGCUGGCCCCUUCGGGGUCCGCGUUGUAAUUUGCAGAGGAUGCUUCGGGUGCGGCCCCUGUCUAAGUGCCCUGGAACGGGCCGUCAGAGAGGGUGAGAAUCCCGUCUUGGGCAGGGUGCCCGUGCCCGUGUGAAGCUCCUUCGACGAGUCGAGUUGUUUGGGAAUGCAGCUCUAAAUGGGUGGUAAAUUUCAUCUAAAGCUAAAUACCGGCCGGAGACCGAUAGCGCACAAGUAGAGUGAUCGAAAGAUGAAAAGCACUUUGAAAAGAGAGUUAAACAGCACGUGAAAUUGUUGAAAGGGAAGCGCUUGCGACCAGACUCGGCCCCGGGGUUCAGCCAGCACUCGUGCUGGUGUACUUCCCCGGGGGCGGGCCAGCGUCGGUUUGGGCGGCCGGUCAAAGGCCCCAGGAAUGUAUCGCCCUCCGGGGUUGUCUUAUAGCCUGGGGUGCAAUGCGGCCAGCCCGGACCGAGGAACGCGCUUCGGCACGGACGCUGGCGUAAUGGUCGCAAACGACCCGUCUUGAAACACGGACCAAGGAGUCUAACAUCUACGCGAGUGUUCGGGUGUCAAACCCGUACGCGCAGUGAAAGCGAACGGAGGUGGGAGCCCCCCCGGGGCGCACCAUCGACCGAUCCUGAUGUCUUCGGAUGGAUUUGAGUAAGAGCGUAGCUGUGGGGACCCGAAAGAUGGUGAACUAUGCCUGAAUAGGGCGAAGCCAGAGGAAACUCUGGUGGAGGCUCGCAGCGGUUCUGACGUGCAAAUCGAUCGUCAAAUUUGGGUAUAGGGGCGAAAGACUAAUCGAACCAUCUGGUAGCUGGUUCCUGCCGA